AUAGUUCUUUUAAGUGCACCAUUUAAUAAAGUCCAGGGAGAUGGAUGCAGCAUGAGAAUUGGUGAUAGGAGCCAAGGUGAGAAUGCCACAAUGACUAGGAUCAUGCAAUAAGCGGUGGCAAAAGAAGCAGACAGGCACACAAGGAUCAGGGAGAGAUUUGUAUGAUAGCUUAUGAAGAGGGUGAAAAGGAAAAUUGAAAGUUCCCACCCUAUGAAUUUCUAAUAGAAGGUUUUGAGAAGGGGAAGGAACAUUGUAAUCAUUUUUGAGAAAGGAGAUGGUAACAGAGUAGGAAUCAGAUCCAGGAUACUGCCACUGGAUAACCACAAUGCUCUUGCUACUGCUCCAUUAGGCUUAUGUAUUCUGCCAAAUAGUGUCUCCUACAUGCUGCAUUAUGUUAUUAUAUAUCUAUAUUAUAAUACAAAUAGUGAGGGGAACCUUUGCCCUUGCAGUUAGUUUCCAAUGUCUAAGGGACAUGAGAAGCCAUUUUAAAUAAAGUUAUGGGAUUUUGGGAAUUCAAAAAUGUGCAUGCAGUGCAAUGUGUGGUUAAGAUUUCGCUUGCAAAGGCAUUCAGUGGUUUAUAUUCCC
Molecule: long non-coding RNA, 585 nt
Organism: Magnolia sinica
Lineage: Eukaryota; Viridiplantae; Streptophyta; Magnoliopsida; Magnoliales; Magnoliaceae
Exons: 2
Source: RefSeq, a predicted model, not a curated record